Molecule: non-coding RNA, 210 nt
Filed under: Mucor ambiguus
Lineage: Eukaryota; Fungi; Mucoromycota; Mucoromycetes; Mucorales; Mucoraceae
Description: Eukaryotic small subunit ribosomal RNA
Rfam family: Eukaryotic small subunit ribosomal RNA
Source: Rfam by way of RNAcentral
CUUAGUAUGCAAAAAACCCAAACUUAUAAAUGGGUGCACUUAUUAGAUGAAGCCAACGCCAGUUUGGUGAUUCAUAAUAAUUUAGCGGAUCGCAUGGCCUUGUGGUUGAGAUUGUAAAAUAGAGGCUUACAAUGCCUACAACGGGUAACUGGAAAUUAGGGUUCGAUUCCGUAGAGGGAGCCUGAGAAACGGCUACAAUCAUAAAGUCGC